Molecule: ribosomal RNA, 485 nt
Filed under: uncultured bacterium
Lineage: Bacteria
Description: bacterial SSU rRNA
Rfam family: Bacterial small subunit ribosomal RNA
Source: RNAcentral
AUUGAACGCUGGCGGCAUGCCUUACACAUGCAAGGUCGAACGGCAGCACGGGGAGCAAUCCUGGUGGCGAGUGGCGAACGGGUGAGUAAUAUAUCGGAACGUGCCCGGUCGUGGGGGAUAACGUAGCGAAAGCUACGCUAAUACCGCAUACGAUCUACGGAUGAAAGCGGGGGAUCGCAAGACCUCGCGCGAUUGGAGCGGCCGAUAUCAGAUUAGGUAGUUGGUGAGGUAAAGGCUCACCAAGCCGACGAUCUGUAGCUGGUCUGAGAGGAUGAUCAGCCACACUGGGACUGAGACACGGCCCAGACUCCUACGGGAGGCAGCAGUGGGGAAUUUUGGACAAUGGGCGCAAGCCUGAUCCAGCAAUGCCGCGUGCAGGAUGAAGGCCUUCGGGUUGUAAACUGCUUUGUACGGAACGAAACGGUGAGCUCUAAUACAGUUUGCUAAUGACGGUACCGUAAGAAUAAGCACCGGCUAACUACGUG